Long non-coding RNA from Callithrix jacchus (white-tufted-ear marmoset), 1502 nucleotides. RefSeq lists it as uncharacterized. The record is from RefSeq and is a predicted model, not a curated record. NCBI's taxonomy places the organism in Eukaryota, Metazoa, Chordata, Mammalia, Primates, Cebidae.
UUUUCAGUGUGCAAAGUAUUCUUUGGGUUUAUUUUUGCCUGGUACAGAAAUUAAGGUCUCCUCAGAGAAAGCAAAGUACAGGUGUUACAGUAAUUAUUUUAAAUAACCCAAGCUUAAGCUUAAGAGAAAGUGCGUAUCUAUAAUACCUUUUGAAAAUCAGACUUUUUUUUUGUCCUCUCUCUCUUUUGGAAAGCUGGAGCAGUAGCUAAUUUGCUUUGUAAGUUUCAGGAGCUAAUAGGAGUGCACAGAACAAUGAUUUGAUUGGCUAAUGGUUUCCUACCCAUUCCAAGGACUUUCUAGACUUCACAAGUCAUGGGUGCCAUGGAGAAUACAGAGGUCGGCCCAAGUUUCAAUAAUCAACUUCCUGAAAUUAAGGGGUAAGAUGAGUGAGAAAUGAGACAUAGCUACAGAAAGCUUCAUCAUCUGCCCAACAUCUCAGAAUAUGUUAUGACUUCCCUACCUCUUCAAGAAUCAACAGGACAAAGUCAAGAGCUUCAGAUAGUUUUCUGAGUCUCCAGGCCAGCCCCUCCAAAGAGAUAAGGAAACUUAAGCCCAAGAAAGCUUACUGGAUAUGAUGAAGUUCUUAAGGGUAACCGAUGGCAGAGGUAUUAUGACUCCUUAUUCUUUGAACUGAUUUAUAAGUGUUCCAUUUACUUACUGUUGUGUAAAGUACUCCAAGCUACUCAAAAAUUCAGAGCAUCAGAAAUUUAGACAGGACCCAGUGGAAAUGACCAAUGUCUUCCCCUCAAGGUCUGGGGCCUCAGCUAGGAACAGAGCUGGUGACUGGGGUUGGGAUCAUCUAGAGGCUUAAAGAAGACUCCCAUGUCUGGUGCCACAUCUAGCAAGGACAACUAGAACACCAGAUGCAAAUAAACCAGAGCACCUACAUGAGGCCUCUCCAAGUGGCUUGGGCCUCUCACAGCAUGCCAUCUGCAUUCUGAGGAGCACUUCCAAAAGGGAGCACCUAGAGGGGGAGUGUUCUAGAGAACUAGGCAGGAGCUGAACAGCCUCAGAUGUCACACAGCAACCCUGCUGCUGCAUUCUCUCGGCUACAAGUGAGUCACUAAGCCCAGAUUCAAUGGAAGAUGACUCUUGGUGAAAGAGUGGCAGGGUCACAUCUAGAAGAGCAUUUGUGAUGGGAGAUGCUACUGUGGACAUUUUUGAAAAAUGUCAUCUUUCACUGUAAGCACAAAUAUAUUUCCUGCACAAAUAACAGGGAAAUAAAAGAAAAAAAAAUCUGAACUAGGGCUUUAAAUGGCUAUGAAAGAAAACAGAGAGCUUUCCUACACACCAAUAAUAAUAGGUACAAAAACAAAGUGGAGUGCUGGGUACAGUGGCUCAUGCCUAGAAUCCCAGCACUUUGGGAGGCCAAGGCAGGGAGAUUGCUUGAGCCCAGGAGUUCAAGACCAUUGCCUGAGCAAUAUGGUAAAACUCUAUCUCUACAGAACAUAUAAAAAUUAGUCAGGCAUGGUGGCAUGUGCCUAUAGUCCCAGCUACUUGAG